RNAcentral lists this ribosomal RNA (404 nucleotides) under uncultured bacterium. Its description in RNAcentral is "bacterial SSU rRNA". It matches the Rfam family "Bacterial small subunit ribosomal RNA", at positions 355 to 776 of the family's 1533-position model. The record is from RNAcentral.
UGGGGAAUAUUGCACAAUGGGGGAAACCCUGAUGCAGCGACGCCGCGUGAGUGAAGAAGUAUUUCGGUAUGUAAAGCUCUAUCAGCAGGGAAGAAAAUGACGGUACCUGACUAAGAAGCCCCAGCUAACUACGUGCCAGCAGCCGCGGUAAUACGUAGGGGGCAUGCGUUAUCCGGAUUUACUGGGUGUAAAGGGAGCGUAGACGGCGGAACAAGUCAGAAGUGAAAACCCGGGGCUCAACCCUGGGAGUGCUUUUGAAACUGUUUGGCUGGAGUGCAGGAGAGGUAAGCGGAAUUCCUAGUGUAGCGGUGAAAUGCGUAGAUAUUAGGAGGAACACCAGUGGCGAAGGCGGCUUACUGGACUGUAACUGACGUUGAGGCUCGAAAGCGUGGGGAGCAAACAGG